This 548-nucleotide long non-coding RNA is filed under the name Elaeis guineensis (African oil palm). Its description in RNAcentral is "long non-coding RNA (EGUI_LNC023820)". Lineage: Eukaryota; Viridiplantae; Streptophyta; Magnoliopsida; Arecales; Arecaceae. The record is from RNAcentral.
CCCACCACCAUUCUUCCCAAUUAAGCAUGUUUCGAAAUAAAAGUUGCUCUAGUUUGGGGAAGUAGGGGGAGAUGCUAGAGCCUAUUUUUCUUUCAUUCCAUCCUAGCACCAGCACUGCCACCCACCAGCGACAAGAAUUCAGACCCGAUGCUCGUGACUGCUGCAGCACCCUUAAUUUUGAGGGCAUCUAGCUGUGGUAGCAUUCCCAAGGGUGGCAUAGAGCACAAUUCUUCAGAACCAGCCAUCGCAGGUUAUGAAGCAAUGACGAGGAGGGUGUCAUCAUCCAACUGGGAAACUCACUGCCGAAGUAGCCACUGAUUGUAAGAGAUUCAAGGCAUUUGCACCAUUCUCUUGAUAUCUUAUUGAUAGCCACUGAUCGAAGACCUCCCCUAUUCUCUUGAUAUCUUCUUCCUCAUGAGCAUUUGCACCAGGCUGCUGCACAUCGGAAGAGCUACUCUGUAGCGUGCAAUACAUUUGUAGCAAGACGAGAUGGGGCUUGGCUUCAAGUGCAGCAGCUCUUGCUUCAGCUCUGUUUGAUAUCCUCUCCA